Molecule: ribosomal RNA, 492 nt
Filed under: uncultured bacterium
Lineage: Bacteria
Description: partial 16S ribosomal RNA
Rfam family: Bacterial small subunit ribosomal RNA
Source: RNAcentral
AGUGAACGCUGGCGGUAGGCCUAACACAUGCAAGUCGAACGGCAGCACAGUAAGAGCUUGCUCUUACGGGUGGCGAGUGGCGGACGGGUGAGGAAUACAUCGGAAUCUACUUUUUCGUGGGGGAUAACGUAGGGAAACUUACGCUAAUACCGCAUACGACCUACGGGUGAAAGCAGUGGAUCUUCUGACCUUGCGCGAUUGAAUGAGCCGAUGUCGGAUUAGCUAGUUGGCCGGGUAAGGGCCCACCAAGGCGACGAUCCGUAGCUGGUCUGAGAGGAUGAUCAGCCACACGAGAACUGAGACACGGUCCAGACUCCUACGGGAGGCAGCAGUGGGUAAUAUUGGACAAUGGGCGCAAGCCUGAUCCAGCCAUACCGCGUGGGUGAAGAAGGCCUUCGGGUUGUAAAGCCCUUUUGUUGGGAAAGAAAAGCAGCAGGUUAAUACCCAGCUGUUCUGACGGUACCCAAAGAAUAAGCACCGGCUAACUUCGUG